GACGAACGCUGGCGGCGUGCUUAACACAUGCAAGUCGAACGGUGAAGCUCCAGCUUGCUGGAGUGGAUCAGUGGCGAACGGGUGAGUAACACGUGAGCAACCUGCCCCUGACUCUGGAAUAAGCGCUGGAAACGGCGUCUAAUACUGGAUACGAGAAGGGUCCGCAUGGGCACUUUCUGGAAAGUUUUUCGGUUGGGGAUGGGCUCGCGGCCUAUCAGCUUGUUGGUGAGGUAAUGGCUCACCAAGGCGACGACGGGUAGCCGGCCUGAGAGGGCGACCGGCCACACUGGGACUGAAACACGGCCCAGACUCCUACGGGAGGCAGCAGUGGGGAAUAUUGCACAAUGGGCGAAAGCCUGAUGCAGCGACGCCGCGUGAGGGAUGACGGCCUUCGGGUUGUAAACCUCUUUCAGCAGGGAAGAAGCGAAAGUGACGGUACCUGCAGAAGAAGCACCGGCUAACUACGUG
This 468-nucleotide ribosomal RNA is filed under the name uncultured bacterium. RNAcentral's name for it is "partial 16S ribosomal RNA". It matches the Rfam family "Bacterial small subunit ribosomal RNA", at positions 28 to 507 of the family's 1533-position model. The record is from RNAcentral.